RNAcentral lists this long non-coding RNA (668 nucleotides) under Gallus gallus (chicken). RNAcentral describes it as "lncRNA (ENSGALG00010025453.1)". Lineage: Eukaryota; Metazoa; Chordata; Aves; Galliformes; Phasianidae. The record is from RNAcentral.
CAGCCACUGGAAUUUCUUUCUAGUGAAACUGUGGAAGUGACCUUUGCUUCUCCCCGUGCUGUGGGUCAGUCUCGAGCUUCCCUGGACAUCUACAAACGCUGCAGCUGCUAACGGAGACCACAGAGGUGAUGGAGAGGUGACUCACCCAGAGGCCUGAUGAACAGACGAAGGACUCAUCUCGUGAAUCAACAGCACAAGGAUCUGCAGAUCAAGUUAAUUCUGCUAACAUUGGAGCAGCCUGAGCCACACUGAAAGGGCUUGCAGAAACAUCACUCUGGUUCCUCUAGGAAGAGCUUUUGCUUGGCAAUGCACAAGCAAGAAGAUUCUAGCUUGUUUUGAUGCAUUGUUGAUACAGUACUAAAAAGUAGAAGCAAAAAGCAGUGUGAUGUUGUUUGGAAAAAGGCCUGCUCUGUUGGCGCUGGGGGAGGCAGGAGCUGGGCGAUGUGCUCUGAGUGGUGACAGAUUACUGGAGGUUAAGAAGGUGGAUUUUUACCCGAUGGACUUGGCAGCUCUCCUGCAGGUCUAUGCACUCAGUAUUGAUCUUGCUGCAAGAUGAAUAGUGAUAUGGAUUUUUCUUUUUUUUUUAAUUCUUUUUUGGGCACCUCUAAAUAUGGCUGGCAUUCAUGAGAGUCUUGCCUAAGGACUGGUAUUAAUCUAAACUAAUCAAG